AGGCUUCCUGCUGAAGAAUUAGCUGAGCCUGCUAAAGGCUGGCAAUGCCAUGUGACAAAGCAAUGACCUUUAGGGCUGGCUUCAGCAAGGGCUGUGGUAGAAAAGAAUGGGGCACACCCAGCUUGUCAUUAUUUGCAUGGCUCGGAGACGGAGAGCCAACCAGACCUGUUGUGUCCUCAGGCAGUCUGUCACCUCUGCUACAUCACAGAUGGGCUACCCUUUCACAACCGCUACCCCAAGAGGUGCACAGGAAGAGAGCACCCAAGUAUGUGGAGACAACCUAGAAAUGUGAAUCCUUUCCUCAGUGAGGGGCAGGCAGGCGGAAAUGGGAGCCCAUGGGAGUUUGAAGAAAAAUCACAGGGCUUGAGAUAGCCAACCUAGAUUUUAGUUCCAGGACUGGUCGAGGGUGUCUGAAGAGCAGAGGUGGAUAGCCUAGGAGUACCUGCUGCACUCGUGAACAGAAACCGUGGAAGUCUGUGGAGAGAUCCACACCUAACGCCAGGAGGUUUUCUUACCCACGGACAACACUCCCCC
Long non-coding RNA from Mastomys coucha (southern multimammate mouse), 534 nucleotides. RefSeq lists it as uncharacterized. The transcript is spliced from 3 exons. The record is from RefSeq and is a predicted model, not a curated record. NCBI's taxonomy places the organism in Eukaryota, Metazoa, Chordata, Mammalia, Rodentia, Muridae.